Molecule: ribosomal RNA, 793 nt
Filed under: uncultured bacterium
Lineage: Bacteria
Description: bacterial SSU rRNA
Rfam family: Bacterial small subunit ribosomal RNA
Source: RNAcentral
CAGUCGAACGAAGUUUUUCUUUCGGGAGGAACUUAGUGGCGGACGGGUGACUAUCGCGUGGGUAACCUGCCCUGUACAGGGGGACAACAGCUGGAAACGGCUGCUAAUACCGCAUAAGCCCUUAGCACUGCAUGGUGCAUAGGGAAAAGGAGCAAUCCGGUACAGGAUGGACCCGCGUCUGAUUAGCCAGUUGGCAGGGUAACGGCCUACCAAAGCGACGAUCAGUAGCCGAUCUGAGAGGAUGUACGGCCACAUUGGGACUGAGACACGGCCCAGACUCCUACGGGAGGCAGCAGUGGGGAAUAUUGCACAAUGGAGGAAACUCUGAUGCAGCGACGCCGCGUGAGUGAAGAAGUAUUUCGGUAUGUAAAGCUCUAUCAGCAGGGAAGAAAAUGACGGUACCUGACUAAGAAGCACCGGCUAAAUACGUGCCAGCAGCCGCGGUAAUACGUAUGGAGCAAGCGUUAUCCGGAUUUACUGGGUGUAAAGGGAGUGUAGGUGGUAUCACAAGUCAGAAGUGAAAGCCCGGGGCUCAACCCCGGGACUGCUUUUGAAACUGUGGAACUGGAGUGCAGGAGAGGUAAGUGGAAUUCCUAGUGUAGCGGUGAAAUGCGUAGAUAUUAGGAGGAACACCAGUGGCGAAGGCGGCUUACUGGACUGUAACUGACACUGAGGCUCGAAAGCGUGGGGAGCAAACAGGAUUAGAUACCCUGGUAGUCCACGCCGUANACGAUGAAUACUAGGUGUUGGGAANCAUUGCUUCUCGGUGCCGUCGCAAACGCAGUAAGUAUUC